CUGACGAGUGGCGGACGGGUGAGUAACGCGUAGGGAUCUGUCUAGGAGUGUGGGACAACACGGGGAAACUCGUGCUAAUACCACAUACGCUCUACGGAGGAAAGGCUGGAUUUAUCCAGUCGCUCUUAGGGGAACCUGCGUUGGAUUAGCUUGUUGGUGGGGUAAAAGCCUACCAAGGCUACGAUCCAUAGCUGUUCUGAGAGGAAGAUCAGCCACAUUGGGACUGAGACACGGCCCAAACUCC
Molecule: ribosomal RNA, 244 nt
Filed under: uncultured bacterium
Lineage: Bacteria
Description: partial 16S ribosomal RNA
Rfam family: Bacterial small subunit ribosomal RNA
Source: RNAcentral